Microcebus murinus (gray mouse lemur) is the source of this 875-nucleotide non-coding RNA. The record is from RefSeq and is a predicted model, not a curated record. Lineage: Eukaryota; Metazoa; Chordata; Mammalia; Primates; Cheirogaleidae.
UUACCUUGGAAUGCUGCUGGUGGAUACUGAGGAGGAUACCCAGGUGGCAGCACAUCUGUUUCUGGAUGAGGAGCAUUCAUUUGCAUGUCUGCAAUUCAAGGAGAGGAAGGCUGGACUGUGACCCACCCCGGCUUCUCUUCCAUUCAACUGGCUUCGUAAUAACAGCAGAAUGCAGUCCAUGGAGACUGUAAAGUCAAGCAAUGAAGAUCAUCCUAUUCAAAUGAAGACUCUUCCCUGGACAUACACUGCAGGGACUUUUCCCAGGAAAGACACUUUUGGUACCAGAGCAAUAUCCUGGUUUUAGGUAUAUAGGAGGAAUUCAUACAAAGAAAAUAAGUGAAUGGGCAGGAGUUCAAGUAGAGCAAAGAGUAUAUGAAUUACAGGUUGAUUUCUGUAUUUGUGAAUGCAACUUAAAAUAUUUAAUAGCUUAUAAAAAUCAUAGGACUAUCACUUUGUGUUAAAGAUAUUUUAUUUUUACAUCUAUAUGUGUAUAUAUAUACACAUUAUAUACACAUUUAUUCUUAUACAUACACACAUUUUAUCUAUUUUUGCAUGUAUAUACAUACACACAUACAAUUAUAUAUACAAAACUGAAGAGUUAAAAGGUAACUAUGACCAUGGCCAAAUGAAUAUUUUUAAAUUGAGUGGAAGCAUCUUACAGCUUGUAGCAAAUAGCUUAAUUCUAUGUAAAUUUACAUUUCAAAAGCUUUGAGUUUUACAAAUAAAAAGAUCAUAAAACUUCACAUGGGAAAAUUAAGGGGUCUAGCUUUAAAGAUUAUCCAAUAUGCCUAGGUGGCUGACAUUAUAGUGAAAGGUAAAUAUUUCUUGACUAUGUCAAAAAAGAUAAGGAGAAUAAAAACCAUUUCAGAAAAUCA